Molecule: long non-coding RNA, 295 nt
Organism: Candoia aspera
Lineage: Eukaryota; Metazoa; Chordata; Lepidosauria; Squamata; Candoiidae
Exons: 2
Source: RefSeq, a predicted model, not a curated record
GCGUGUAUUAUUACCUGUCAGACCCAUUCCAUGCACAUUCAAACUUGUCAAAGAUGCAGUCGUUUUCAUAAAGUGAACACAAUUUGCUUCUAAGAAUGAUACAGUAUAAAGACCAAAUGAAAAGGAAUUGCAUCUUUGACUGGCUUUCUUUGGAAAUUUGGGUUACAGCCAGGAAUUCAGGAAUUAUUCAAGUAAUGUUGUAAGAUAUAACAUGAGCCCAGAAAAAUGUCUGUAUGUGUGUGUUUGCAAAUCUGCAGUUGAUAUUACCAAAAAAAUAAAGUUCUUUUAAAAUGUG